CCCUGUACGAUCACCAAAGUUAAACAAUGUUGAGCCUGGUCAGUACCUUGAUGGGUGACUACUUGGGAAUACCAGGUGCUGUAAGC
Molecule: non-coding RNA, 86 nt
Organism: Acanthosepion pharaonis
Lineage: Eukaryota; Metazoa; Mollusca; Cephalopoda; Sepiida; Sepiidae
Source: the annotation of a GenBank genome assembly